This 87-nucleotide transfer RNA is filed under the name Armillaria borealis. Its description in RNAcentral is "tRNA-Thr". It matches the Rfam family "tRNA". From Rfam's summary of the family: Transfer RNA (tRNA) molecules are approximately 80 nucleotides in length. Their secondary structure includes four short double-helical elements and three loops (D, anti-codon, and T loops). Further hydrogen bonds mediate the characteristic L-shaped molecular structure. tRNAs have two regions of fundamental functional importance: the anti-codon, which is responsible for specific mRNA codon recognition, and the 3' end, to which the tRNAs corresponding amino acid is attached (by aminoacyl-tRNA synthetases). tRNAs cope with the degeneracy of the genetic code in two manners: having more than one tRNA (with a specific anti-codon) for a particular amino acid; and 'wobble' base-pairing, i.e. permitting non-standard base-pairing at the 3rd anti-codon position. The record is from RNAcentral. Lineage: Eukaryota; Fungi; Basidiomycota; Agaricomycetes; Agaricales; Physalacriaceae.
UCCCUCUUAGCUCAGUGGUAGAGCGUGUCACUCGUACCUCAUAUCGGUCUUAUGACAAGGUCAGUCGUUCAAUCCGGCUAGCGGGAA